This 163-nucleotide ribosomal RNA is filed under the name uncultured Sphingomonas sp. Its description in RNAcentral is "partial 16S ribosomal RNA". It matches the Rfam family "Bacterial small subunit ribosomal RNA", at positions 368 to 553 of the family's 1533-position model. The record is from RNAcentral. Lineage: Bacteria; Pseudomonadati; Pseudomonadota; Alphaproteobacteria; Sphingomonadales; Sphingomonadaceae.
GUACUGUGCGCAGCUGAUGCAGCCUGCCGCGUGAGUGAUGAAGGCCUUCGGGUUGUAAAGCUCUUUUACCCGGGAUGAUAAUGACAGUACCGGGAGAAUAAGCCCCGGCUAACUCCGUGCCAGCAGCCGCGGUAAUCGUAUGUGCCAGCAGACGCGGUAAUAA